RNAcentral lists this ribosomal RNA (353 nucleotides) under uncultured Methanosaeta sp. Its description in RNAcentral is "bacterial SSU rRNA". It matches the Rfam family "Archaeal small subunit ribosomal RNA", at positions 87 to 442 of the family's 1478-position model. Lineage: Archaea; Methanobacteriati; Methanobacteriota; Methanomicrobia; Methanotrichales; Methanotrichaceae. The record is from RNAcentral.
GGCUCAGUAACACGUGGACAACCUGCCCUUAGGUUGGGUAUAAACCCGGGAAACUGGGUAUAAUACCCGAUAGAUCUCGGUCGCUGGAAAGCCCCGAGAUCGAAAGCUCCGGCGCCAGAGGAUGGGUCUGCGGCCUAUCAGGUAGUAGUGGGUGUAGCGUACCUACUAGCCUACGACGGGUACGGGUUGUGAGAGCAAGAGCCCGGAGAUGGAUUCUGAGACACGAAUCCAGGCCCUACGGGGUGCAGCAGGCGCGAAAACUUUACAAUGCCGGCAACGGCGAUAAGGGGACCUCGAGUGCCAGGUUACAAAUCUGGCUGUCGUGAUGCCUAAAAAGCAUUGCAUAGCAAGGG